UACAGAGGGGGCGAGCGUUGUUCGGAAUUACUGGGCGUAAAGGGCGCGUAGGCGGCCUGCUAAGUCAUACGUGAAAUCCCUCGGCUCAACCGGGGAACUGCGUGUGAUACUGGCGGGCUUGAAUUCGGGAGAGGGAUGCGGAAUUCCAGGUGUAGCGGUGAAAUGCGUAGAUAUCUGGAGGAACACCGGUGGCGAAGGCGGCAUCCUGGACCGAGAUUGACGCUGAGGCGCGAAAGCCAGGGGAGCAAACGGG
This 253-nucleotide ribosomal RNA is filed under the name uncultured bacterium. RNAcentral describes it as "partial 16S ribosomal RNA". It matches the Rfam family "Bacterial small subunit ribosomal RNA", at positions 524 to 776 of the family's 1533-position model. The record is from RNAcentral.